Molecule: long non-coding RNA, 1581 nt
Filed under: Gossypium barbadense (sea-island cotton)
Lineage: Eukaryota; Viridiplantae; Streptophyta; Magnoliopsida; Malvales; Malvaceae
Description: long non-coding RNA (GBAR_LNC009893)
Source: RNAcentral
AAUAACCAUAUCAUAAGACCAUAUAUACAAAAUGAUUAUAAUGCUAUACAUGCCAUACUCAAAAUAUACAAGCCAUUAUGCCAAGAUGGUAUACAGAUAGUGUGAGCGAACCUCCGACCGUCCCCGAUUUCCGAGCUGGCUUGUCAAAACUACAAGGAAUGAAAAGGAUGGAGUAAGCAUAAAUGCUUAGUAAGUUCACAUGCAAAUAGCAAGUAACAUAACCAUAUAAGCAAACAUAAAACAUCAUUUGCAUAAUCAUCACCAAGACAUUCAUAUCAUAUUUUCAUUUAUCAUCUUACCAAAUUGUUGUUAUAUCGAUUUUUCAACCCGAGGGUUAAGUACAUACCUGUUCAAAGUACCAUUUCACAACACUUACCAAUAUGUCCCUUUCAUCUCGAGUAUUCCUCCAUUUGAGUAGAAUUUUACCCGUUGAACACAUCGGAAUAUAAUUCGGAUACAUGGAAAGUUUGCACAUAAGUGUCACAUAUGUAGCCAAGCUACCAUGCAACCCGCCCAUAAGUGAACUCGGACUCAACUCAACGAGCUCGGGCGUUUGCAUCCAUAAGUGAACUCGGACUCAACUCAACGAGUUCGGAUGCCUAGUUACAUUUCUCGAACUCGGACUCAACUAAACGAGUUCGGACAUUUGCAUCCAUAAGUGAACUCAGACUCAACUCAACGAGUUCGGAUGCUCAACCAUCCUAGUGACAUGUCACUUGUAUCCUAAUCUAUUCCUAAGGUUCAAACGGGCGUUUUCCUCGAUCACACAUCUUUGCCAUCUUCCACGGAAUAUCAAAAUUGAUACUUCGGUGAUAGUUCAUACUCAUCAAGUAAUUCACAUAAUUACAUAUUAUUCAACAAUAACCACAAAGCAUAAUAUUUCAUGAUAAUAAUCAGCAUCAUAUCAUAUAAACAACAUUAAAUUGCUUAAAAUGACAAUUAUGUUACUACAUUUACACAUGAACUUAUCUCGUAUGCGAAAAUGGAUACUUUUACCAUUUCGUCCACAACUUGGUAUUUUCCCUAUUUUAGCCCGAAUUUUAGUUUUCCUUACUCUAUCAUUUAAAAUAUAGUCUAAUUAGGACUCACAUUAUUCAAAUUGACCCAAAAUCAUAUUUUAGAAAAAUUACAGUUUUGCCCCUAAACUUUUGCAUAUUUACACUUUUGCCCCAAAGCUCGUAAAUUAAACUUCAGCCUAUUUUCUUAUGUUUUAUGACAUACUGAUCAUUUUUCCCUUCUAUGGAAACAUCAAAUUCUCACUCUAACAUGUACUUAUGACUAUUAGGUAUUUUUACCGAUUAAACCCUUUUGCUAGUUUUCGCUUAAAACCGAGUAGCACAAGUUGUCUAACAUAAUUUAAAACCUCAUAUUCUAUCAUAAAACACCAAAAUACACAAAUUUAACCUAUGGGUAUUUUUUUCAAAUAUGAACCCUAGGUUAAAUUAUUGCUAGCAUAAGCUUAAUCGAGCUACCAGGACUCCAAAAAUGUAAAAAUCAUUAAAAACGAGGCUAGAACGGACUUACAAUCGAGCUUGGAAGCUUGAAAAACCCUAGCCAUGGUUUCUCCUUGCUAUAUUCGGC